Molecule: ribosomal RNA, 497 nt
Filed under: uncultured bacterium
Lineage: Bacteria
Description: partial 16S ribosomal RNA
Rfam family: Bacterial small subunit ribosomal RNA
Source: RNAcentral
GAUGAACGCUGGCGGCGUGCCUAAUACAUGCAAGUCGAGCGAACAGACGAGGAGCUUGCUCCUCUGACGUUAGCGGCGGACGGGUGAGUAACACGUGGAUAACCUACCUAUAAGACUGGGAUAACUUCGGGAAACCGGAGCUAAUACCGGAUAAUAUAUUGAACCGCAUGGUUCAAUAGUGAAAGGCGGUUUUGCUGUCACUUAUAGAUGGAUCCGCGCCGCAUUAGCUAGUUGGUAAGGUAACGGCUUACCAAGGCAACGAUGCGUAGCCGACCUGAGAGGGUGAUCGGCCACACUGGAACUGAGACACGGUCCAGACUCCUACGGGAGGCAGCAGUAGGGAAUCUUCCGCAAUGGGCGAAAGCUUGACGGAGCAACGCCGCGUGAGCGAUGAAGGUCUUCGGAUCGUAAAACUCUGUUAUUAGGGAAGAACAAAUGUGUAAGUAACUAUGCACGUCUUGACGGUACCUAAUCAGAAAGCCACGGCUAACUACGUG